UACGGAGGGGGCUAGCGUUGUUCGGAAUUACUGGGCGUAAAGCGCGCGUAGGCGGCUUUGUAAGUUAGAGGUGAAAGCCCGGAGCUUAACUCCGGAACUGCCUUUAAGACUGCAUCGCUAGAAUCGUGGAGAGGUGAGUGGAAUUCCGAGUGUAGAGGUGAAAUUCGUAGAUAUUCGGAGGAACACCAGUGGCGAAGGCGGCUCACUGGUCCGGUACUGACGCUGAGGUGCGAAAGCGUGGGGAGCAAACAGG
This 253-nucleotide ribosomal RNA is filed under the name uncultured bacterium. RNAcentral describes it as "partial 16S ribosomal RNA". It matches the Rfam family "Bacterial small subunit ribosomal RNA", at positions 524 to 776 of the family's 1533-position model. The record is from RNAcentral.